Molecule: ribosomal RNA, 301 nt
Filed under: uncultured bacterium
Lineage: Bacteria
Description: partial 16S ribosomal RNA
Rfam family: Bacterial small subunit ribosomal RNA
Source: RNAcentral
CAGCAGCCGCGGUAAUACAGAGGGUGCGAGCGUUAAUCGGAUUUACUGGGCGUAAAGCGUGCGUAGGCGGCUUCUUAAGUCGGAUGUGAAAUCCCUGAGCUUAACUUAGGAAUUGCAUUCGAUACUGGGAAGCUAGAGUAUGGGAGAGGAUGGUAGAAUUCCAGGUGUAGCGGUGAAAUGCGUAGAGAUCUGGAGGAAUACCGAUGGCGAAGGCAGCCAUCUGGCCUAAUACUGACGCUGAGGUACGAAAGCAUGGGGAGCAAACAGGAUUAGAUACCCCGUAGUCCCUGUCUCUUAUACC